Molecule: transfer RNA, 75 nt
Filed under: Methylomusa anaerophila
Lineage: Bacteria; Bacillati; Bacillota; Negativicutes; Selenomonadales; Sporomusaceae
Description: tRNA-Gly
Rfam family: tRNA
About the family: Transfer RNA (tRNA) molecules are approximately 80 nucleotides in length. Their secondary structure includes four short double-helical elements and three loops (D, anti-codon, and T loops). Further hydrogen bonds mediate the characteristic L-shaped molecular structure. tRNAs have two regions of fundamental functional importance: the anti-codon, which is responsible for specific mRNA codon recognition, and the 3' end, to which the tRNAs corresponding amino acid is attached (by aminoacyl-tRNA synthetases). tRNAs cope with the degeneracy of the genetic code in two manners: having more than one tRNA (with a specific anti-codon) for a particular amino acid; and 'wobble' base-pairing, i.e. permitting non-standard base-pairing at the 3rd anti-codon position.
Source: RNAcentral
GCGGAAAUAGCUCAGCGGUAGAGCAUCGCCUUGCCAAGGCGAGGGUCGCGAGUUCAAAUCUCGUUUUCCACUCCA